RNAcentral lists this transfer RNA (70 nucleotides) under Enchelynassa canina. Its description in RNAcentral is "tRNA-Trp". It matches the Rfam family "tRNA". Rfam says of the family: Transfer RNA (tRNA) molecules are approximately 80 nucleotides in length. Their secondary structure includes four short double-helical elements and three loops (D, anti-codon, and T loops). Further hydrogen bonds mediate the characteristic L-shaped molecular structure. tRNAs have two regions of fundamental functional importance: the anti-codon, which is responsible for specific mRNA codon recognition, and the 3' end, to which the tRNAs corresponding amino acid is attached (by aminoacyl-tRNA synthetases). tRNAs cope with the degeneracy of the genetic code in two manners: having more than one tRNA (with a specific anti-codon) for a particular amino acid; and 'wobble' base-pairing, i.e. permitting non-standard base-pairing at the 3rd anti-codon position. Lineage: Eukaryota; Metazoa; Chordata; Actinopteri; Anguilliformes; Muraenidae. The record is from RNAcentral.
AGAGACUUAGGAUAGUUAGACCAAAGGCCUUCAAAGCCUUAAGCGGGAGUUAGACCCUCCCAGCCUCUGC